GACGAACGCUGGCGGCGUGCUUAACACAUGCAAGUCGAACGGUAAGGCCCUUCGGGGUACACGAGUGGCGAACGGGUGAGUAACGCGUGAGUAACCUGCCCUUCACUCUGGGAUAACAGUUGGAAACGGCUGCUAAUACCGGAUAUUCAGCUCCUGUCGCAUGGUGGGGGUUGGAAAGUUUUGGUGGUGGAGGAUGGGCUCGCGUCCUAUCAGCUUGUUGGUGGGGUGAUGGCCUACCAAGGCGUCGACGGGUAGCCGGCCUGAGAGGGCGACCGGCCACAUUGGGACUGAGAUACGGCCCAAACUCCUACGGGAGGCAGCAGUGGGGAAUAUUGCACAAUGGGCAGAAGCCUGAUGCAGCAACGCCGCGUGCGGGAUGACGGCCUUCGGGUUGUAAACCGCUUUCAGCAGGGACGAAGCGCAAGUGACGGUACCUGCAGAAGAAGCACCGGCUAACUACGUG
RNAcentral lists this ribosomal RNA (463 nucleotides) under uncultured bacterium. RNAcentral's name for it is "partial 16S ribosomal RNA". It matches the Rfam family "Bacterial small subunit ribosomal RNA", at positions 28 to 507 of the family's 1533-position model. The record is from RNAcentral.